This 82-nucleotide transfer RNA is filed under the name Pylaiella littoralis. RNAcentral's name for it is "transfer RNA-Leu (UAA)". It matches the Rfam family "tRNA". From Rfam's summary of the family: Transfer RNA (tRNA) molecules are approximately 80 nucleotides in length. The record is from RNAcentral. Lineage: Eukaryota; Phaeophyceae; Ectocarpales; Acinetosporaceae.
GCGACUUUGGUGAAAUUGGUAGACACGUCAGACUUAAAAUCUGUUUCUAUUUAAGAGUAUCGGUUCAAGUCCGAUAAGUCGC